This 580-nucleotide ribosomal RNA is filed under the name Pseudomonas saponiphila. RNAcentral describes it as "bacterial SSU rRNA". It matches the Rfam family "Bacterial small subunit ribosomal RNA", at positions 53 to 626 of the family's 1533-position model. The record is from RNAcentral. Lineage: Bacteria; Pseudomonadati; Pseudomonadota; Gammaproteobacteria; Pseudomonadales; Pseudomonadaceae.
CCAUGCAAGUCGAGCGGCAGCACGGGUACUUGUACCUGGUGGCGAGCGGCGGACGGGUGAGUAAUGCCUAGGAAUCUGCCUGGUAGUGGGGGAUAACGUCCGGAAACGGGCGCUAAUACCGCAUACGUCCUACGGGAGAAAGUGGGGGAUCUUCGGACCUCACGCUAUCAGAUGAGCCUAGGUCGGAUUAGCUAGUUGGUGAGGUAAUGGCUCACCAAGGCUACGAUCCGUAACUGGUCUGAGAGGAUGAUCAGUCACACUGGAACUGAGACACGGUCCAGACUCCUACGGGAGGCAGCAGUGGGGAAUAUUGGACAAUGGGCGAAAGCCUGAUCCAGCCAUGCCGCGUGUGUGAAGAAGGUCUUCGGAUUGUAAAGCACUUUAAGUUGGGAGGAAGGGUACUUACCUAAUACGUGAGUAUUUUGACGUUACCGACAGAAUAAGCACCGGCUAACUCUGUGCCAUCAGGCGGGGUAAUACAAAGGGUGCAAGCGUUAAUCGGAAUUACUGGGCGUAAAGCGCGCGUAGGUGGUUUGUUAAGUUGGAUGUGAAAGCCCCGGGCUCAACCUGGGAACUGCAU